AUGAUUCCAUGGUGUGUCUUUACACUUAACUCUUGGUUUGUCAGUACGGCGCUGCCAAAAGUUGUCACAGUUGGAAUUGACUUUGGAUGCAAGAAUUCAAGAGUUGCGAUCAUAGAUUCCUUGGUACGCAAGCUGUACAUUAGGGAAAUCUUGAAAUUAAUGUGCACACCAGAGCUAAUAAAAAAGGUACCGGAGGUUAUCGACAGUGAAGGUGGGCAUUGCACUCCAUCUUAUGUUACUUCAAUAGAGCCAGAAACUAGUGAACGAUAUGCGUGGGCCCUGCAGCGUUUGGAAGGUCUUGGCAAAUGUGUCGCAGUUGGAGAACUUGCAAAGCGCAGGAUGUCUAGACAACCAUCCGAUGUUGUCUUCAAUAUAAAAAAGUUGAUUGGAAAACAAUUUGAUGACUGCUGGGUGGAAGGAAUGAGGAAAAGAGUCCAUUUCAGCAUCGUUGAAGGGGGAAGAGGAGAAGCUUGCGUCCAAAUCCAUGGAGUGAGAUUUUCUCCUGUUGAAAUUGCCAGUGUUAUUUUUGCAAAGCUCAAGGAUGUCGUCCUGAUGUACCAAUUUCAUCACGAAUUAAAAGCGGUGAUAAGUGUGCCCAUUUUCUUCAGUGAACAGCAAAGGGAGGCCAUAUUGUUGGCGGCAAAUAAAGCGGGCUUAACGGUAUUGCAGUUAAUAGAUGAACCAAAGGCAGCCGCUCUUUCUAGAGCAACAAUUAAAGAAGGUAUCGUUGUUGUUUUCGACAUGGGUGCUGGAUCAUACACACUCUCAGUCCUUGGUGUGUCUGGCACAAAUAUUGAGGUCAAAAGUCAAUCUGCUGACCCCAUUGUUGGUGGGGAUCAGUUCGACGAUAUAGUUCUGGACUACUUUGUUACGCAGAUCAGAAAUUUUCAUUAGGUCGACAUUCGUUCAGAUAAAUAUGCUAUGAUGUUACUUGCUGAAGCAGCGGAGCAAGCUAAAGUGGAAUUAUCAACCCAACACAAAGUCACAAUUUCCACGCCUUACAUCAUCUCAUCGGCUCAGUGUCAUGGUGAUGCUAGCGUCUCUAUUUCUCGGGCAGAGUUCGAGAGGUUGGUUCACAACAUGGUAGAACAAAUUCAAUACAAGUGUUGUGCAGUCCUAAAAGAGGCUAACAUCACUGACAAGCGUAUCAAUGAAAUUGUAUUGACUGGGGGGAUGACAAGAGUUCCCAUGAUACGGAGAAUCAUAUAUGACAUAUUUGGCAAGAAUCAGGGUACAAGCGUGAACCAUGAUGAAGCCGUGGUUAUCGGUUCAGCGAUACAAGCUGCUCUCAUUGUGGAAGAUCAGCGUGAGAUGAGAGAAGACAUGAUUCCACUCUCUAUUGGUGUUGAGUCAGAAGGAGUUUUCAUGCGGGUUAUUCCAAGGCAUACCACAAUUUCUACUAAACGGACGGUUAAAAUUCCUUCAUGGUGUGCAUAUGGUGAAAGUCUGCAUCUCAAAGUUUUUCUUGGGGAGCAUGUCAUGGUUAGCCAUAACACAUUCCUAGGAGAGAUAGAUCUAGUAAACAAUCGAUGGUCGGGUCAAGGAUCAGUUCAUUUUGAGCUGACUUUUGAAGUUGACACCGACUACACGGUCAAAGUAACCGGCAGAAACCCUGGUGACGCCGACGGCGCGAGGAAAGCAACAUUCAAGGUCUUCAAUGUACGCGAGAUCGUUAUGUCUAAGGGCAAAGUCGACGAGGCUGUUAGGAACGCCUUGCUUGGCUGGUCAAUGCAAGGCAUAGAGAUCCAUGCUCGUCUGGUAAACAUGGGAAAGCAUAUAGCAAAUACCCUCCGCGACGUCUUGUGGGCGAGAAAAGAUGAGGUCCCAAAGAACAUCUAUCAUGAGGACGCGGCAAAGGCGCUGGCUGAUUUGCUGACAGUGUUGCAUGCGGACAGCCAUGUGCUGAAAGAUAAGAUGCUCGCUGCUGCGGCAGAGGAAGAGAAGCUGAUGGCGGAUUGGAACCCACCGUCAACGUCUCGUAAUAGAGAUUAUUCAGACUAUGAAGAUGAGGAAGAGAGUGCAUAG
Molecule: ribosomal RNA, 2025 nt
Filed under: Triticum aestivum (bread wheat)
Lineage: Eukaryota; Viridiplantae; Streptophyta; Magnoliopsida; Poales; Poaceae
Description: partial small subunit ribosomal RNA
Source: RNAcentral